CAGCACCUCAAGUGGUCAGGAUGAUUAUUGGGCCUAAAGCAUCCGUAGCCGGCGCUGUAAGUUUUCGGUUAAAUCUGUACGCUCAACGUACAGGCUGCCGGGAAUACUGCAGCGCUAGGGAGUGGGAGAGGUAGACGGUACUCGGUAGGAAGGGGUAAAAUCCUCUGAUCUAUUGAUGACCACCUGUGGCGAAGGCGGUCUACCAGAACACGUCCGACGGUGAGGGAUGAAAGCUGGGGGAGCAAACCGGAUUAGAUACCCGAGUAGUCC
RNAcentral lists this ribosomal RNA (270 nucleotides) under uncultured archaeon. RNAcentral describes it as "partial 16S ribosomal RNA". It matches the Rfam family "Archaeal small subunit ribosomal RNA", at positions 477 to 747 of the family's 1478-position model. The record is from RNAcentral.